This is a long non-coding RNA of Vombatus ursinus (common wombat), 783 nucleotides long. RefSeq lists it as uncharacterized. The transcript is spliced from 5 exons. NCBI's taxonomy places the organism in Eukaryota, Metazoa, Chordata, Mammalia, Diprotodontia, Vombatidae. The record is from RefSeq and is a predicted model, not a curated record.
GCUAGGGAAGCCUGAAUAUUGUUUUGAUUCUUCCUGCUUCCUUUAAGUAGAGUGUUCCAGAAUUUUUGCUACAAACAUUGGAGGCAUUAGGGCUGUAUUUGUGGAAUAUGAUUCUCUGCUCUAAAACAGAAUCUAUUUUUGUAAAGGUUCUAUGUAGUGCUGAAAAGUGAAUGCUUAGAAGAGUGAAGCACAACAACAAAGAAAAGGAUGAUGGGGCAAGAUCUGUAUAACAUAUAAACUGGUUAAAAGAGGGAGCCCAAACUCAGUAUGUCCGUCACAAACUUUAAUGCCAUGAAGAGCACAGAAAGACUAAAUAAGGAACAAGUACAGGGAGUGGAGCCCCUGAGCCAGGAGCUUAAGCAAUGGAGACCUUGGAAUGAUGGAUUCCAGGCCAGAUGUUGCAUCCAGCACAACAGGGGAGCCCUGGGAAGCCAGGGCUGGGAAGCCAGGAUCGCAGAUCUCAAGUCCAGGCUUUGGACUUGAAACUUAGUGUGACUAAUACUACGUAGGAACUGAGUUAAACUGGGAACCUAAUCUCCCUCCUUUCUCCAUGUUUGUAUGUUUGCUUUCAUUACAUCUUUGAAGUAAAACAUUCAAAUGUAACCAGGAUACUUGGACCCCUAAAAUGGGGAGGGACCUUAAUGGGGGCGGGGGUUCAGUCAAUAAUAUAGACAAGAAACUGAAGUCUCUUACACAUAACAAGGAUAAGAGUUCUGAAGAACCCUGAGGGAGAGAUCAAAUCGAGCACACCUGACCUUCAGGAAGUGGGCACCAGAAAGAGCC